Molecule: transfer RNA, 88 nt
Filed under: bacterium
Lineage: Bacteria
Also listed under: 9 other names
Description: tRNA-Leu
Rfam family: tRNA
About the family: Transfer RNA (tRNA) molecules are approximately 80 nucleotides in length. Their secondary structure includes four short double-helical elements and three loops (D, anti-codon, and T loops). Further hydrogen bonds mediate the characteristic L-shaped molecular structure. tRNAs have two regions of fundamental functional importance: the anti-codon, which is responsible for specific mRNA codon recognition, and the 3' end, to which the tRNAs corresponding amino acid is attached (by aminoacyl-tRNA synthetases). tRNAs cope with the degeneracy of the genetic code in two manners: having more than one tRNA (with a specific anti-codon) for a particular amino acid; and 'wobble' base-pairing, i.e. permitting non-standard base-pairing at the 3rd anti-codon position.
Source: RNAcentral
GCCGGGGUGGCGGAAGUGGUAGACGCAAGGGACUUAAAAUCCCUCGGAACUUAGUUCCGUGCCGGUUCGAUUCCGGCCCUCGGCACCA